This 460-nucleotide ribosomal RNA is filed under the name uncultured bacterium. RNAcentral describes it as "partial 16S ribosomal RNA". It matches the Rfam family "Bacterial small subunit ribosomal RNA", at positions 338 to 795 of the family's 1533-position model. The record is from RNAcentral.
CCUACGGGGGGCAGCAGUGAGGAAUAUUGGUCAAUGGGCGCGAGCCUGAACCAGCCAAGUAGCGUGCAGGAUGAAUGCCCUACGGGUUGUAAACUGCUUUUAUAAAGGAAUAACGUGCGGCACGUGUGCCUUUUUGUAUGUACUUUAUGAAUAAGGGUCGGCUAACUACGUGCCAGCAGCCGCGGUAAUACGGAAGGGGCAAGCGUUAUCCGGAUUUACUGGGUGUAAAGGGAGCGUAGGCGGCAGUGCAAGUCUGGAGUGAAAGGCGGGGGCUCAACCCCCGGACCGCACUGGAAACUGGACGGCUUGAGUGCACAACAGGUAAGUGGAAUUCGUGGUGUAGCGGUGAAAUGCGUAGAUAUUACGAGGAACACCGGUGGCGAAGGCGGCUUACUGGACUGCAACUGACGUUGAGGCUCGAAGGUGCGGGGAGCAAACAGGAUUAGAUACCCCAGUAGUC